This is a long non-coding RNA of Astatotilapia calliptera (eastern happy), 324 nucleotides long. The record is from Ensembl. Lineage: Eukaryota; Metazoa; Chordata; Actinopteri; Cichliformes; Cichlidae.
GGAAUGGAUGUUUGUGUCUGUGUGUGCCUGUAUGUCUGUGUCUAUAUGUCAGGUUGGGUAUCAGACGCCACCUCUCUGGAGACAUCUCGGGCCUUCCAAGGUUUGGAGGCCUAUCUCCACCCACCACCACUUCCCCUGCCGGUGGCGGACUCCCUCAGGUGUCGGUGCGUUGGUGGUUCUUUGUAUCUGGGGGUGGGCGUCCGGGUACACACCGGCUCACUCCUUGGCGGCCGCUUAUUGGGGCUCGCUCGGGCCAUUUCGGAGGUGGGGUGCCCCCGGCCUCUCGGCCUGGGGCUCGGUCACUCAGGCACAGCUGGCUGCCGG